CUUUUAAAGGGUAGCAGUCACCCGCUGGCUUUAGGCGCC
Molecule: transfer RNA, 39 nt
Filed under: Gerrhonotus liocephalus
Lineage: Eukaryota; Metazoa; Chordata; Lepidosauria; Squamata; Anguidae
Description: partial tRNA-Leu
Source: RNAcentral